ACUCAAAUGAAUUGACGGGGGCCCGCACAAGCGGUGGAGUAUGUGGUUUAAUUCGAAGCAACGCGCAGAACCUUACCUACCCUUAACAUCCCGUGCUACUGGCAGAGAUGUCAGGUUCUCUUCGGAGACGCGGAGAUAGGUGCUGCAUGGCUGUCGUCAGCUCGUGUUGUAAGAUGUCUGGUUAAGUCCAAUAACGAGCGCAACCCCUGUCCUUAGUUGCCAGCAUUAAGUUGGGAACUCUAAGGAGACUGCCGGUGUUAAACCGGAGGAAGGCGGGGAUGACGUCAAGUCCUCAUGGCCCUUACGGGUAGGGCUACACACGUACUACAAUGGCAGAGACAGACCGUUGCGAAACCGCGAGGUGGAGCUAAUCGGUAAAACACUGCCUCAGUUCAGAUUGCAGUCUGCAAUUCGACUGCAUGAAGUUGGAAUCGCUAGUAAUCGCUGAUCAGCAAGCAGCGGUGAAUACGUUCCCGGGCCUUGUACACACCGCCCGU
RNAcentral lists this ribosomal RNA (497 nucleotides) under uncultured bacterium. RNAcentral describes it as "partial 16S ribosomal RNA". It matches the Rfam family "Bacterial small subunit ribosomal RNA", at positions 899 to 1397 of the family's 1533-position model. The record is from RNAcentral.